GUGGGGAAUAUUGGACAAUGGGCGAAAGCCUGAUCCAGCCAUGCCGCGUGUGUGAAGAAGGUCUUCGGAUUGUAAAGCACUUUAAGUUGGGAGGAAGGGCAGUAAGUUAAUACCUUGCUGUUUUGACGUUACCGACAGAAUAAGCACCGGCUAACUUCGUGCCAGCAGCCGCAGUAAUACGAAGGGUGCAAGCGUUAAUCGGAAUUACUGGGCGUAAAGCGCGCGUAGGUGGUUUUGUAAGUUGGAGGUGAAAUCCCCGGGCUCAACCUGGGAACUGCCUCCAAAACUGCAUGACUAGAGUACGGUAGAGGGUAGUGGAAUUUCCUGUGUAGCGGUGAAAUGCGUAGAUAUAGGAAGGAACACCAGUGGCGAAGGCGACUACCUGGACUGAUACUGACACUGAGGUGCGAAAGCGUGGGGAGCAAACAGGAUUAGAUACCCCUGUAGUCC
This 450-nucleotide ribosomal RNA is filed under the name uncultured bacterium. Its description in RNAcentral is "partial 16S ribosomal RNA". It matches the Rfam family "Bacterial small subunit ribosomal RNA", at positions 354 to 796 of the family's 1533-position model. The record is from RNAcentral.